This 1407-nucleotide long non-coding RNA is filed under the name Vombatus ursinus (common wombat). RNAcentral describes it as "lncRNA (ENSVURG00010012647.1)". Lineage: Eukaryota; Metazoa; Chordata; Mammalia; Diprotodontia; Vombatidae. The record is from RNAcentral.
GAGGGGGAGGGGAGGCAGGGGAGGCGGAGGAGGCGGCGGCGGGGACAGCCCUUCUUCCUCAUCUCUCCAGCCUACUGGUCACCUCUCGCUGGAAGCCUUCCCAUCCGAUGCUGGCUAGGGGGGGAAGAGACAGGAAAUAGAUAGGAUUUAAUUUAUAGUCGUGUGUGUGUGUGUGCGCACGCGUGUACAUGUGUGUAUACAUGCCUAGCUGUGCUCCUACAGCCAGGCAUGUAUAUAGAUAUCUAUAAAUGGUCUACUUUAAACUAUGCAGGGUUUGGGUUAAGUUAUUUGGCUGGUUUCUCUUCCAUUUUAGAGACAGGCCUAUUUUCAGGAGGCUGCCUGGUUCUCUAAAAUCUAGAGAUUAGCCACAGCUGACAACACAGGGAGCUUCAGGUCAUUUGCUUUCCAGUGAUUUUUCCUCUGGAUGAAGGCUUUGGUCUGGUUUCUGAUUGGUGAUUUCUAAGGGCAGAGAUAAUCAUGACAGAAUUGAAAUCUCUGGAACACUUGGUUUGAGGCUGCAGGGCUUCAGACUGUGUUGGAAAGGAGGAGGCAGAAAAUGGUUCGUUUACCAGGUCAGCUGUGAGCAUAACUUCUGCCCGAAGGUUUGGCUCCCCAUCCUGAGCUCAUCAGUGUUUAAAUUUGAUGGAGACUGUCCAGCCAGCCGGGAUGAUGGCUGGUCAGUUUCUCUGUCCUAACUUCGAACUCCCCCCCCCCCCCCAUGCUGCACCUCAGGGGUCCCCCUUCCCAACGUAGCUUUGCACCACAGAAGCACAGUCUGGCACCCUGUCCAGGGGUGACUGGACUAACUGGAGCCUGGCGAGGAAAAGCUGGCCGAGUUUGGAAUGCACUUACUGAGGGGAGCUGGGCUGCCCCUCACCUCCUCAUCCUCCUGAGUGGUCUGCUGCCUCUGAGGGGUCCGUGGCCUCCAGAGCUCAGAGGAAGCCGGUGCCAGCGCCCAGGGGCCUGGGCAGAGUGGCCAGCCUCCCGACCGACCCGGGACAGCUUCCAAGCACAGCGACCUUCCCCAGGAUGGAUGGCCCCCCCAGGUCUUCUCUUGAUCCCACUUCGGGCUAAAGAUACUCUGCUCAACCAGAAUGGUUUUCUUAUCUUCACUUUACGAAGGAGGAUUUUUCUCAAAACAGCUGUUGCUGCCGGGGGGGAGCACCCUCCACCUGGAGAGAUCUCAGUGGAAGGGAACUCAAGAACAGCCUCGGACCUGCAGAACGCCCCCACUCAGCUAAUGACCCAGCCCCUCCACCCUCCACCCCAUGACUUCUCUGAGUCGCUAUCCAUGGAUGGUAUAAGCUCGGUGCAAUAAAGCAUAGAUCCUGAAGAAUAACCACAGAGGCUGAAUUAGAAUUAUGAAAUUGUACAUCUAUAAAUAAAUGUUUAUAAUGUGAGAGACCA